This 301-nucleotide ribosomal RNA is filed under the name uncultured bacterium. Its description in RNAcentral is "partial 16S ribosomal RNA". It matches the Rfam family "Bacterial small subunit ribosomal RNA", at positions 509 to 807 of the family's 1533-position model. The record is from RNAcentral.
CAGCAUCCGCGGUAAUACGGAGGGUGCAAGCGUUAUCCGGAUUUAUUGGGUUUAAAGGGUCCGUAGGCGGAUCUUUAAGUCAGUGGUGAAAUCUCACAGCUUAACUGUGAAACUGCCAUUGAUACUGCAGGUCUUGAGUAAAUUUGAAGUGGCUGGAAUAAGUAGUGUAGCGGUGAAAUGCAUAGAUAUUACUUAGAACACCAAUUGCGAAGGCAGGUCACUAAGAUUUAACUGACGCUGAUGGACGAAAGCGUGGGGAGCGAACAGGAUUAGAUACCCGUGUAGUCCCUGUCUCUUAUAC